AUUUAUAUAUUUAAUAGGAGUCACUUACGUCUUUCACACACAUGUUUGCUGGGUAUUUACUGUUUAGGGCUCUCACACUGUGACACACAUGCUUGCUGCUUUAUACGCUUACGGAGUAGUUUUGUUCAAAUUGCCAAUAUAUUAUGUGAUGGAAGUUUAGUGAAUUGUUGAUUAAGAAGGGUGAUAUAUGCAGAAUCUGACUAAGUGGGGUGGAGCUUUGAUUGAACUGUCUCAAUUUCAGAGCGUUCCAGACGCAAAAAAGAUGUUAAAUGGUAUUUUAUUAGUUAUGAUCCGAAUUAGUAAUUGUUAUUGCUAUGUUUUACUUGUUUAUUGAGGUUGAUGGAUUGGAUAUCAACUUUAUA
RNAcentral lists this unclassified non-coding RNA (362 nucleotides) under Hevea brasiliensis (rubber tree). Lineage: Eukaryota; Viridiplantae; Streptophyta; Magnoliopsida; Malpighiales; Euphorbiaceae. The record is from RNAcentral.